This is a long non-coding RNA of Populus euphratica (Euphrates poplar), 309 nucleotides long. RefSeq lists it as uncharacterized. The transcript is spliced from 2 exons. The record is from RefSeq and is a predicted model, not a curated record. NCBI's taxonomy places the organism in Eukaryota, Viridiplantae, Streptophyta, Magnoliopsida, Malpighiales, Salicaceae.
CGUUCCCUCAUGCUUUCUCUCCCUUCACUUGUAGGGUUCACAGGCAAAACUUCUGUAAAACGUUACCUGCUCUAUUUUUGUAUGGUCCAGAAAAUAGAGAUGCUUAACUCAUAAUAAAACUCAAGAAAGGAGAUUUUCACUUGUCAGAGCCACUGCCUAUAAGCUAUGCCAAAGGAUUUGUGAGGAAUUAAUGAUUUUCUCGUGUUAUCCUGUUGUAAUGAACCAGUUCCAUAACUGGGAAUUGGAAUUUUAUGGUUGAUUGAUGGUCUUGUUCCCUUGAAAAGAUUAAUGAAAUUGCUAUGAUUAUAU